This 647-nucleotide long non-coding RNA is filed under the name Homo sapiens (human). RNAcentral describes it as "HSALNT0159740". Lineage: Eukaryota; Metazoa; Chordata; Mammalia; Primates; Hominidae. The record is from RNAcentral.
CUGUUACAUAGAGUACUCAAGAAUUUUCUUAAACACAAAAUGGACUAAAUAUGACUAGUGUUUAUACUCAAGUUUGAAGAACAGCAAGAAAGAUGAGGUACAAUACUCAUUAAAAUUUUCAUCAUGCUAAAUUCACAGAAAUACUGAAUAGAAGACAGAAAAAGGGGCAAUGCCAUCAUUAAGGCAAGGUCUCUACUUACAGGUAAAUUGUCUUGUGAUUAUUUCCACAGAACUCUGACUUGGAUAAGGCUUGUAUCCAUUUUAUUACGAUGUUCUUCUUUUUUACAAUUUAGUUCCCCAGAGGGCAAGACCAAGGCUUGAUAAAAAUGUCACUGUAAUGAAAACUUGACCGCAAUUAUAAAGAUGACAUCAUUAUGAUGAUGAUUAUGAUAAUAAUGAUGACGAUGAUGAUGACUUUGCCAUUGCUUUGCAGAAAAGGGAUUAUAUCUUUUGUGAUGAUAUGAAUGAUACAUCUUAGCCUCUUUAUACCUAAGAUCGGAACCCUCUGAUAAUUUGUGCUGCUAUUUUAAGAUCCAGUUCCAUUCUACAACUGGCUGAAGCAUGAAGUCAACUAAAAUAAACUGAAUUGAGUGGAACUGAACUGAACUGAAGUGAAAUAAUGUGAUUUCCAGUAAACCUGACACCUU